RNAcentral lists this long non-coding RNA (355 nucleotides) under Capsella rubella. RNAcentral describes it as "long non-coding RNA (CRUB_LNC003843)". Lineage: Eukaryota; Viridiplantae; Streptophyta; Magnoliopsida; Brassicales; Brassicaceae. The record is from RNAcentral.
UAACCGUUAGUUUAUUUGAGAUUGAAUCUCGACCCUCGAAGGUCAUGGCUGAAGGACUAUUAAUAAAGUCCCAUUCGCAGCCUUGUAGUCACGUUUUUAACCUAGAUCAAUAAAGUUGCAUUUUCUUCUCUUGCGCCGUUUGCGAGUUGAGAGUUCUUACACGAGUAUUCUUGAGUGGUUUCCCCUUGAAUCAAUCCGUGUGAGCUUGUUACUUGGUUGAUCGAACCCCCUUGCUUCCCCUAAGCUAUCUUGUUCCAUUGAGUUUCAUCUUGUUUGCGGUUUUAUCGAGAGAGAGCGAAGGCCAACUCGAUCGACCCUAGUUCGUGCGUACGUGUGACCCUUGGAGCGUAUAUCA